This is a non-coding RNA of Rattus norvegicus (Norway rat), 3702 nucleotides long. The record is from RefSeq and is a predicted model, not a curated record. NCBI's taxonomy places the organism in Eukaryota, Metazoa, Chordata, Mammalia, Rodentia, Muridae.
GUAGUGACUAUUCCCACACUUAUGGGGCACGGAGAGCCUCUAUGAUCACCCUGUUUUACUACAUUCUCCUUCCUGUGGUUUGCUUUAGUGCCUCAAGGUUCUGUUGAGUCGUGAACUAAGCUGUGUCCUUAUCUUGGUUUCUGACCCUGAGAUGUGGGGUCCCUAGGGACAUAUCUCUGCCCCCUUCUAAUCUGUAUCCUUCACUGCUCCAAGGCCACAGCUCCAGAAACCCCACUUCUGAGCCAUACCAGCUCACACCAGGACCUCACUUCCUAGUUUCCCCAGGGCGCUCUCUCAAGCACUCCUGCUUUGGGACAAAGAGUCAGAGCUUCCUAGAGUCCAGCCAAGCCCAGGACAGCAGAGGCAGGUGGCAGUUGUCCUCCUGCCUCAAACAAAAGCAAUCAAGCCAUCAUCCUGAUUUCUUUUUAAAUCAAUUCCCAUGACAAAUGUGUCUGUGAAAGAGGGCUGGCUGCCUCCGGGCGUUCACCGCUUCAAUGAGGACAACAGAAGGAGCAGGAUUCAUAAAACUAUAAUGUGUUAUUUGAACAGAUUUCCCGGUAACCUGACCCUGUAGUCUUAGAAUCGGCUCAGCCUUCACCAGGUCCAGAUGGAGCCUCUCUGUAGCCUCCUCAGGGGACAGGAGCAGCUCUGUGUGCCUGAUUGACCAGGGGACACUUGUAUGGAGGGGAUCAGAGUGGUUGGGAGCAGCGGACAGGGGUUCUGGGUGCUUCCUCUAGCACUGGGAGACCCGGCUUGUCUGAUCAGGUUUUCUUGCUCAUGUGUUGAGCCUGUGACCGAUCUCCCUCUGUGACAAGAGUAUACACGAUGAACAUAAACCUUAACACACCAUGGGAGCUGUAUGUGAACUGUGCCAGGCUCCUGUGGGAGCACAGUGAGGCAGGCUGGGAGCUGUCACCAGUCUGUCCUAAAGAGAAUCAGAGCCAAAUGAAGCUAGCCACACUUUAGACUUGACCUCCAAUGAGGUCACCAGGCAAACGGCUGGAAUGGUCCAGACAAUGGGAAAUUCCAAGAAGUGUAAGCACCCAAGACCCAAGAGUUAAUGGAAGCCUAGCACUAGGCAGGCGAACCUGAGCUGUGACUGUCAAGACCAGCGGUCACUUUGGGCUCAGGCGGAUAAUGCAUGGGAAUACAAACCCAGGGGGACUGGCCCCUAAUGGCCAUUGUAGACUUUGUCCUUUCAGUGCCCAGCAGCGACCAUGUGCUGGGGCUCUGCUGCCCACACUGGAAGAAGCAAAGAAAGCAGCUGAAAUGCCAAGAACAGUCUGUCUCUACUGAGGCUCACCUUAAGGAGAAGCUUUCUGAUUGAAUCCUUGGACCUGUCGGGUUGGUCCCCAAUCACUCUCUAGAGAGUAACCUCUGAGGUGCGUGUGGGAGCUCAUACCUGCAAACCUCCCCCCCUUCUCCACGCCAGCAAGCUGGGGCAGGCAGCUUGUCAUACGUUUCAGGCCAAUCUGGGUUACAGAGGGAGACUCUGCCUUGAAGCAAAAGCAACAAAGCGAGGAAUGUCUUCAGGCAGUACCCCUCACUUGUCUGUGAUCACUUUUGGUGUGAGGGAGAGUAUGGGGCAUUCGUUGCCUGGCUUUCUCUCUGAGGAACUGGCAGUAACUGGGUCACCUUGCCUGUCAAGAAGCAUCCCUCACUGCGGACCCCACUCUCCCUGGACUCCUGCAAACUUUCCAGGGCUGUUCUAACAAGAUAUCAUCAACAACAUGCCUGGGAAUAGAGAUGAUUUCGGGUGCUGGUUUUGGUUUUACCUUCGCUAAAGUGGAGAGAAGAUUCGCACAUGUGCCUGCCUAUUCCACCAGGCCACUGAACCCCACAGACAAGGGACCAGCGGGGCCACACUCCAUCCGAAAGCUAUCAGGAGACCUCACCUUCAAUAACUCCCAGAGUUCACUGACUCCUUAUUAUAGCAUAGUGAGCUGUGAGGAGAACGCUCUCUCACUUCUGCCGGUGUCUGGGGGCUUACUGGCCACCCGUGGUAUGCUUCCAUGUUUCUCACUUGUAGAAGUGGCAUUUCAGAUUGUUGUCAUUGUCAUGUACUGUUCUGCUGGCCUCUGUCCAUCUCAAUGUCUAUUCUGAGGACACCAGUCACACGGAUACAGAUCUGCCCGCUCCAGCAUGAAUGACCUCAUCAGAAACACAGUGGCAACAACUUUAUCUCCAAAUAAAGUCAUGUCACGAGACACUGGGGUGAGGGUUUGAAAAGAUCACCUUGGGGGACACAUUUCAAACCUGAUCUACAGUUGCUGAAAACCCCUGUCCCCUCAAAGGCUAUAGCAAUGGCUAGUGUCAACACUGCCAGCCAAUUGCAAGAUGCCACAGGGAAGGGUUGUGUUGGCAUCAUUGUCCUUUGAUCUGAGAGCCGAAACAAAAUGCAGUACACGUUCAGUAAAUGCUUCUUGACGCUGUUGGUGACAGUGUCUUGCUUGUCCUGGCUCAGUCUCAAGAUCUAGCCACAAAGCUGCUCCUCAGCACACGGUCUACCCAGGGCCAGUUUCUCAGGGUCCUUGUGGUCUGGUCUUCAGUUGAACCCUGACAUCACCGACUCCUUCAUCAUCAGUCCUGGGAGAGGUCAGCCCCCCGACCCUCAAUGAGACCCUUACUUUCAGUGUGACAGCUAUUUUACCCGGCAGUAGGCAAACAGAGAUAUUUUAAGAUGAGUGUGUCAGCUGGGGUCAGUUUCCGCUUGGCUAUCGCUGGUGCUGUCAGGAGGAGAGCGGGUUUGGCUGUCCGGAGGGAACCCAUCAAUCACUCCUGACAGCCCUUAAUCAGACAAAGGAGCCCUCACCACCGUGUUACAGAGAGGGAGAGACUAUAGUAUUGUUCAAGCUCAACAAAGAAUUUUGGACAGGAAUUUUAAGUUGUAAAUACAAUCUCUCUGUCUUCCAAGCAUUUAGAUCCCUAAAGCCUCAGGUCCUCUCAGGUCUGAGGACCUUCUACUCUUUAUUCUAGGAAACUGGCCUCUUUAUUCAAAGACAGACAGACAGAUGCACGCACGCACACACACACACACACACACACACACACACACACACAACAUUCACUGGUCUCCUCUGAUAUACUAGGUGCUUUGGGCAGUGUAUCAAGAAGCCUGUGGUCUUGGGCCAGCAAGAUGGCUAAGUGGGUAAAGGUGCUUGCCACCAAGUCCAACAACUUAAGUUCAAUUCCCAGCUUACACACGAGGAAUGAAAGUUGUCCUCUGACCAUAACACUGAAUCACUGAUGCUGUGGUACAUGCGUACACAUUCAUCUCUCUCUCUCUCUCUCUCUCUCUCUCUCUCUAACACACACACACACACACACACACACACACACACACACAGUGAAUAAUAUAAAUAAAAUUAGGAAAAACACCCAUUAAAAGGAGGCCUAUGGUUCUUAAUGGAAGCAAAAGGCUCAUGAACAAAAAGGCCCCAAGCUACAUGAGCAGCCCUGGCGCUAAGGUAGCUCAGCGUGUUGGGGAAACCCAGAGGGGUCUCAGCCAAACCCACUUGUUUGCACCUUCGUCUGACUGCUUUUAUUCUUGCAGGCCCGGGACAGUGGCAGGCGGCAUGAGACACUGCAUGGCUUGGGGGAACAAAUCUUUUGUUGCAUUAACGCUUUUCAUCCUCCACCUUGAACGAGGCAGAUGCUCCCUGCAGAGCUGUCGACUGAAUAAAGAAAUGAGUUUAAUGAUCA